Anguilla rostrata (American eel) is the source of this 1112-nucleotide long non-coding RNA. RefSeq lists it as uncharacterized. The record is from RefSeq and is a predicted model, not a curated record. Lineage: Eukaryota; Metazoa; Chordata; Actinopteri; Anguilliformes; Anguillidae. The transcript is spliced from 3 exons.
CACUUGGAACCCCUGGGAAAGUGCCUUUGGUGCUGAAGCUAGAGGAUGCAGGCUAACCAAUCCCUCCUGAGUUCAAGCUGUUACCAAACCCAAAUGGGCCUUGGCAGAUUUACUUGUGCCACCCGCAGGAAAUAAAUCAUAACAGGCUGUCCUGGUGUACUGCACCGGCCCAUAGGAAGUCAUGCUGUGUAUGUGUGGAGAGUCGUCGAUGUGUGGAACAGCUUGCCAGGUCCUGCACUGGAGGCGGAAACUGUAGGCGAACUGGUGCGGCGUUGGAUACUCCCUGAGUUGUACUGUACAGCAUGUGAAUGGCGAACUGUUAGAUCCCAUGUAGCUCGUUAGCAAAUGGAGAGCACAGAUGGACUGAAUGGUCCUCAUUACGUGUUGUUAUGUAAUUUUAUGUCUAAGGAUCAUGGUGUCUGCUCCAGUCACCAGCUGUGGGCUGUGAUGAAGUGUGACGUGGCUGUUGUUUUCUUCCAGAAUACUCAACGCUGAAGAUUCAAUGGUACAUGAGAAAAUGUAAUACAGAGAAAAAUUAAGAGAAGGAGGGGCUGAUUCUAUGGCCAUAUUCUGAGAGAUUAAACUGAGAUGGAAAAAUUACUUUCUUAUGGUCUGUGUGCUCCAUUUAACUGCAUCACCAAAAUUCAAAUAAAAUGGUAAGUCUUGUGGUUGAGAUCAUACCAGGCAUAAAGAUCUGUUUGCAGUGAGUCCCACCAGGCCAUGUACUUGGGCCUCUGAGAUUUUAGGUAACAUUAUUUGAUAAAAUAGUGUUGAUUGUCAUCACUGUACAGAUGAUGCGCAACUUCUGAAUAUAUCAGAGAAACCAACAGAGAUUCCACCAGUACAGAUACUAAUAAUGCAACUGUUACUGACCUGAAUCUGCCUGAAUUUGUCUUUCUGUUACUAACUGCUCGAAAAAGAAGAGAUAAAAUUUUGCAUAGUAUGCCUUUAACCUUGAAAUUAUAAAAUAACCAUGCUCAGUCAUAUGCCAUAUCCACUGUCAAUCUGUCUGUCUGGCAUCUGUCGAAUUUGUGCUCCUCAGUCUGUAUUUCUUCUUCUAAGUGUUUUAUAAAAAUAAAAACAAUAUUAAAAACAGAUAUAAAAUGCAAAAA